GGCUGGUCCAAAGGGAGUGAAUUAUCUCACCUGACUGUUCACAGCCAGCUACAGAUCAAAUUCCUUGUUCUACUCUUUCUACUUUCUCACUAUGGCACCCGACUAGUCUUAA
Gorilla gorilla gorilla (western lowland gorilla) is the source of this 112-nucleotide unclassified non-coding RNA. It matches the Rfam family "Y RNA". Rfam says of the family: Y RNAs are components of the Ro ribonucleoprotein particle (Ro RNP), in association with Ro60 and La proteins. The Y RNAs and Ro60 and La proteins are well conserved, but the function of the Ro RNP is not known. In humans the RNA component can be one of four small RNAs -- hY1, hY3, hY4 and hY5. Lineage: Eukaryota; Metazoa; Chordata; Mammalia; Primates; Hominidae. The record is from Ensembl.